Molecule: long non-coding RNA, 995 nt
Organism: Daphnia magna
Lineage: Eukaryota; Metazoa; Arthropoda; Branchiopoda; Diplostraca; Daphniidae
Exons: 3
Source: RefSeq, a predicted model, not a curated record
UCUUAUGACUUCUCCAGGCGACAGUUUUUCACAUUUUCGGUGACAAAGGAGAAGACAAGAGUGGCACUGUAUUCCACCAUCAUCCUUCUUGCUUUCCUUCUUGCAAUGACAGUGGAAAGUGUUGAUCUGUUUCUUCGUUUCAACUGACUGACGCCCAUGCAUCUUCAUCAAACAACUUUCGGAAUUCUUCCAACUUUAACUCAGGAUUUUGGACUGCACUGCUGACUUGCGCAGGCAUCUGAAAGACCAUCUCUUCAGUUACAAUGUGCUUCGAAAGAAGUAUUUAUUCGGCUUUUUCCCGUCCGAUAAACCAAGUCAGGAAUACUGCAAUCAAAGAAAAAUAAUUAUUGCGUGUUGGUGAGUAAAAGGAAUCAAUGAUUUUACUUAGUUUUUGAUCUGCCUUUUUUUUUCGAAUUGCUUAGGGGCAUUUUUAUGAUGAUCCAGCCGUCUGGUUCCUUUCGGUCGCCCAGCUCGAGUUUUGGUGUUGGGGAGCAUAAGCAUCAUCAAAUCGUCUUCUACUCUUGGUCUUUUUGGCUCCCGGUUCUCAUCAGAACUACUUUGCUGGUCAUCUGCAGCUUCUGAUGGAGGUUCUAUUGGGCCAUAAGAGUGGUCCAAGUAGAUUGAUGUCAUUCGGGCGUCUGUAUCUGCCGUAGCUCGAACAACUGGAUCUGCCGGAGCUUGAACGACUGGAUCUGCCGGAGCUCGAACGACUGGAUCUGCCGGAGCUUGAACGACUGGAUCUCUUUGAGUUUGAACGAUUGGAUCUGCCAGAGUUUUAUAUUAGGCUCAUUCCGUCGGAUGCAUAACUUGACCUGUUCCAGUACUUGGAGGUAUCCCUCGAAGGCAGGCAAGGGUAUAUUUUGAAGUUCAUUAGCCAAGGUUUUGGCUAAUUGAAGGGCUCUGCUGUACAUGUCUUCUCAAGUGACUCGAUCUCGAUUUCUUCGUUGUUGAAUUACGACCGGUGACCAAGCUUCCGGGUGUUCGUCUUGUGAAUC